CCCUUAGAUGUCCGGGGCUGCACGCGCGCUACACUGAAGGAAUCAGCGUGCUAAAACCAUUGUCGAAAGGCAUUGGUAAACCCAUUAAAAUCCUACGUGAUUGGGAUCGGGAAUUGCAAUUAUUUCCCUUGAACGAGGAAUUCCCAGUAAGUGUGGGUCAUAAGCUCGCGUUGAUUACGUCCCUCCCCUUUGUACACACCGCCCGUCGCUGCCCGGGACUGAGCCGUUUCGAGAAAAGCGGGGACUGCUGCUGUCGGGGCUUUCGGGCCUUGGCUUCGGUGGAAACCGCUUUAAUCGCAGUGGCUUGAACCGGGCAAAAGUCGUAACA
RNAcentral lists this ribosomal RNA (328 nucleotides) under uncultured eukaryote. RNAcentral's name for it is "partial 18S ribosomal RNA". It matches the Rfam family "Eukaryotic small subunit ribosomal RNA", at positions 1470 to 1796 of the family's 1831-position model. The record is from RNAcentral.